Molecule: ribosomal RNA, 468 nt
Filed under: uncultured bacterium
Lineage: Bacteria
Description: partial 16S ribosomal RNA
Rfam family: Bacterial small subunit ribosomal RNA
Source: RNAcentral
GACGAACGCUGGCGGCGUGCUUAACACAUGCAAGUCGAACGGAAAGGCCCUGCUUUUGUGGGGUGCUCGAGUUGCGAACGGGUGAGUAACACGUGAGUAACCUGCCCUUGACUUUGGGAUAACUUCAGGAAACUGGGGCUAAUACCGGAUAGGAGCUCCCGCUGCAUGGUGGGGGUUGGAAAGUUUCGGCGGUUGGGGAUGGACUCGCGGCUUAUCAGCUUGUUGGUGGGGUAGUGGCUUACCAAGGCCUUGACGGGUAGCCGGCCUGAUAGGGUGACCGGACACGUUAGGAUUGGGAUACGACACAGACUCGUACGGGAGGCAGCAGUGGGGAGUAUUGCACAAUGGGCGGAAGCCUGACGCAGCACCGCCGCGUGCGGGAUGACGGCCUUCGGUUUGUAAACCGCUUUCGCCUGUGACGAAGCGUGAGUGACGGUAAUGGGUAAAGAAGCUCCGGCUAACUACGUG